Molecule: unclassified non-coding RNA, 210 nt
Filed under: Hevea brasiliensis (rubber tree)
Lineage: Eukaryota; Viridiplantae; Streptophyta; Magnoliopsida; Malpighiales; Euphorbiaceae
Source: RNAcentral
AUGGAGUGGUAGGGACGAUAUGUUCGUACGUUGUUUGUAUAUGGGUAAAAUUGAAUUUUAAAAAUGUAUAUGUACUAUUAGUAAAUAUUGAAUCUCAUUUGGCUUCUUGUUGGGUUUAGUUUUUCGUAUUUUGAAUUUCUUAGUGAAAAUCUUAGCUUUGCGAAUAGUUGAUUGGCAUGCAUUAUGUAUGUUACAUUUGGGAUAUUUUUG